GCUUCCGUAGCUCAGCAGGAUAGAGCGUCCGCCUCCUAAGCGGAAGGUCGUGGGUUCGAAUCCCGCCGGGAGUGCCA
This 77-nucleotide transfer RNA is filed under the name Oscillospiraceae bacterium. RNAcentral describes it as "tRNA-Arg". It matches the Rfam family "tRNA". From Rfam's summary of the family: Transfer RNA (tRNA) molecules are approximately 80 nucleotides in length. Their secondary structure includes four short double-helical elements and three loops (D, anti-codon, and T loops). The record is from RNAcentral. Lineage: Bacteria; Bacillati; Bacillota; Clostridia; Eubacteriales; Oscillospiraceae.